This 58-nucleotide transfer RNA is filed under the name Salmo salar (Atlantic salmon). It matches the Rfam family "tRNA", at positions 8 to 63 of the family's 71-position model. Rfam says of the family: Transfer RNA (tRNA) molecules are approximately 80 nucleotides in length. Their secondary structure includes four short double-helical elements and three loops (D, anti-codon, and T loops). The record is from Rfam by way of RNAcentral. Lineage: Eukaryota; Metazoa; Chordata; Actinopteri; Salmoniformes; Salmonidae.
UGGCUCAGUUGGUAGAGCAUGGUGUUUGCAACGCCCAGGUUGUGGGUUCGAUUCCCAC